GACGAACGCUGGCGGCGUGCUUAACACAUGCAAGUCGAACGAAGUGGCGAACGGGUGAGUAACGCGUAAUCAACCUGCCCUUCAGAGGGGGACAACAGUUGGAAACGACUGCUAAUACCGCAUACUGUAGGAGGGGAUUGCGUCUGAUUAGCUAGUUGGGGGGGUAACGGCCCACCAAGGCGAUUAGCAGUAGGCCGGCUGAAGGGGUGGACGGGCACAUUGGGACUGGGACACGGCCCAGACUCCCACCGGAGGCAGCAGUGGGGAAUCUUCCGAAAUGGACGGAAGGCUGACGGAGCAACGCCGCGUGAGUGAUAACGGCCUUCGGGUUGUAAAGCUCUGUUAAUCGGGACGCGGUACCGGAAUAGAAAGCCACGGCUAACUACGUGCCAGCAGCCGCGGUAAUUC
RNAcentral lists this ribosomal RNA (408 nucleotides) under uncultured bacterium. RNAcentral describes it as "partial 16S ribosomal RNA". It matches the Rfam family "Bacterial small subunit ribosomal RNA", at positions 28 to 526 of the family's 1533-position model. The record is from RNAcentral.